GCUCACAUGCAGUCGAGCGGUAACAGAGAGUAGCUUGCUACUUUGCUGACGAGCGGCGGACGGGUGAGUAAUGCUUGGGAACAUGCCUUGAGGUGGGGGACAACAGUUGGAAACGACUGCUAAUACCGCAUAAUGUCUACGGACCAAAGGGGGCUUCGGCUCUCGCCUUUAGAUUGGCCCAAGUGGGAUUAGCUAGUUGGUGAGGUAAUGGCUCACCAAGGCGACGAUCCCUAGCUGGUUUGAGAGGAUGAUCAGCCACACUGGGACUGAGACACGGCCCAGACUCCUACGGGAGGCAGCAGUGGGGAAUAUUGCACAAUGGGCGCAAGCCUGAUGCAGCCAUGCCGCGUGUGUGAAGAAGGCCUUCGGGUUGUAAAGCACUUUCAGUCAGGAGGAAAGGUUAACGGUUAAUACCCGUUAGCUGUGACGUUACUGACAGAAGAAGCACCGGCUAACUCCGUGCCAGCAGCCGCGGUAAUACGGAGGGUGCGAGCGUUAAUCGGAAUUACUGGGCGUAAAGCGUACGCAGGCGGUUUGUUAAGCGAGAUGUGAAAGCCCCGGGCUCAACCUGGGAACUGCAUUUCGAACUGGCAAACUAGAGUGUGAUAGAGGGUGGUA
RNAcentral lists this ribosomal RNA (618 nucleotides) under bacterium ocme08sprp675. RNAcentral's name for it is "bacterial SSU rRNA". It matches the Rfam family "Bacterial small subunit ribosomal RNA", at positions 46 to 663 of the family's 1533-position model. The record is from RNAcentral.